AGUGAACGCUGGCGGUAGGCCUAACACAUGCAAGUCGAACGGCAGCACAGUAAGAGCUUGCUCUUACGGGUGGCGAGUGGCGGACGGGUGAGGAAUACAUCGGAAUCUACUUUUUCGUGGGGGAUAACGUAGGGAAACUUACGCUAAUACCGCAUACGACCUACGGGUGAAAGCAGUGGUUCUUCGGACCUUUCGCGAUUGAAUGAGCCGAUGUCGGAUUAGCUAGUUGGCUGGGUAAAGGCCCACCAAGGCGACGAUCCGUAGCUGGUCUGAGAGGAUGAUCAGCCACACUGGAACUGAGACACGGUCCAGACUCCUACGGGAGGCAGCAGUGGGGAAUAUUGGACAAUGGGCGCAAGCCUGAUCCAGCCAUACCGCGUGGGUGAAGGAGGCCUUCGGGUUGUAAAGCCCUUUUGUUGGGAAAGAAAAGCAGCAGGUUAAUACCCCGCUGUUCUGACGGUACCCAAAGAAUAAGCACCGGCUAACUUCGUG
Molecule: ribosomal RNA, 492 nt
Filed under: uncultured bacterium
Lineage: Bacteria
Description: partial 16S ribosomal RNA
Rfam family: Bacterial small subunit ribosomal RNA
Source: RNAcentral